UACGGAGGAUCCGAGCGUUAUCCGGAUUUAUUGGGUUUAAAGGGUGCGUAGGCGGCCUGUCAAGUCGGCGGUGAAACCCCCGGGCUCAACCCGGGGACUGCCGUCGAAACUGGCGGGCUAGAGUACGUUGGGAGUGCGCGGAAUGUGUGGUGUAGCGGUGAAAUGCAUAGAUAUCACACAGAACACCGAUCGCGUAGGCAGCGCACUACGCCGCAACUGACGCUGAGGCACGAAGGCGCGGGGAUCGAACAGGAUUAGAUACCCUGGUAGUCCGCGCAGUAAACGAUGGAUGCUCGCCGUCCGCGAUACACAGCGGGUGGCCAAGCGAAAGCGAUAAGCAUCCCACCUGGGGAGUACGCCGGCAACGGUGAA
RNAcentral lists this ribosomal RNA (372 nucleotides) under uncultured bacterium. Its description in RNAcentral is "bacterial SSU rRNA". It matches the Rfam family "Bacterial small subunit ribosomal RNA", at positions 524 to 898 of the family's 1533-position model. The record is from RNAcentral.